Vigna umbellata (rice bean) is the source of this 891-nucleotide RNA transcript. It is a transcript of the gene named protein ILITYHIA-like, with no coding region annotated. The record is from RefSeq and is a predicted model, not a curated record. NCBI's taxonomy places the organism in Eukaryota, Viridiplantae, Streptophyta, Magnoliopsida, Fabales, Fabaceae.
CAAAACCCUAGCUCAUCCCUCUCUCCCCGUCUUCAUCUUGCGUUCUUCAAACAAUGCACCGCACCACAUUCUUCAAACAAGGCCUCUUUCGUUCGUAUUGGUCUUGGUCUUCCGUUGCAUUUAUGGGCUGAGCGAGGCUCCAAUCGUUUGUCGAAGGUUCUGUGCCUCCAACCGUUCGUCAUAUCUUAUGAUAUUGUGACACAGUUGUGAUUGUAAGACAUUCCAUUUUCAUGAUAUUUUGCUGCAGUAGAAAUACGUGUAUAUACAUAAUAUUAGAAAUUUGCAGUUCCAGAACUAUGGUGAGAAAUGUGUGGCAGAGGUGUGAUCCUAAGAUGAUCAGUUGGCUAAUAUGAACACCCACGAUGUCGUCAAAUUUUCACGUCUUCUCGGCAACGAGAUUCGCAUUCUCAAGGUGACUUUUGAUGAUGAUAAAUCAAAAGCAGUGGAUUUCAAUAUUAUCCACCAUCUAAUCCUGGUUUCCAAGCUAUUGAAGAAGAAAAUCCUCCACUGUUAUUGAAGAGCCACGUGGUACUGAUAUUUCUUUGGACCCUCAAGUUUCGUUUGUUCCAUCUGUUGAGGUGUUGGUUAAGGCUCUGCUUAUGAUGUCACCAGCAGCUCUGAAACAUGCUCCAGAUUCAUUUGUCAGAAUAUUACUUUGCUCACAUCAUCCAUGUGUAGUUGGUAGUGCAAAAAGAGAUGUGGUGUGGAAGGGAUAUGAUCAAGCGAGCAUGCCAAACAAUGAAAGUAAUGAAGAUCAAAAUUAGACAUUGUUUCCUUUAUAGUAAUGUAAUGAACAUCUCAGUCAUAUUUUUGUAUUUUAAUUUAGUAUUGAAUAUCUUUCUUUUUAAUAUAUGAACAAUUAGUUGUAUGAACAUGUUGAACAAUGAAUAU